RNAcentral lists this ribosomal RNA (600 nucleotides) under Shewanella baltica. RNAcentral describes it as "bacterial SSU rRNA". It matches the Rfam family "Bacterial small subunit ribosomal RNA", at positions 73 to 649 of the family's 1533-position model. Lineage: Bacteria; Pseudomonadati; Pseudomonadota; Gammaproteobacteria; Alteromonadales; Shewanellaceae. The record is from RNAcentral.
CCCCCCCUCGGACGGGUAAUAGAUUGCUAUCUUUGCCGGCGAGCGGCGGACGGGUGAGUAAUGCCUAGGGAUCUGCCCAGUCGAGGGGGAUAACAGUUGGAAACGACUGCUAAUACCGCAUACGCCCUACGGGGGAAAGGAGGGGACCUUCGGGCCUUCCGCGAUUGGAUGAACCUAGGUGGGAUUAGCUAGUUGGUGAGGUAAUGGCUCACCAAGGCGACGAUCCCUAGCUGUUCUGAGAGGAUGAUCAGCCACACUGGGACUGAGACACGGCCCAGACUCCUACGGGAGGCAGCAGUGGGGAAUAUUGCACAAUGGGGGAAACCCUGAUGCAGCCAUGCCGCGUGUGUGAAGAAGGCCUUCGGGUUGUAAAGCACUUUCAGUAGGGAGGAAAGGUAACAGCUUAAUACGCUGUUGCUGUGACGUUACCUACAGAAGAAGGACCGGCUAACUCCGUGCCAGCAGCCGCGGUAAUACGGAGGGUCCGAGCGUUAAUCGGAAUUACUGGGCGUAAAGCGUGCGCAGGCGUUCUGUUCAUCGAGAUGUGAAAGCCCCGGGCUCAACCUGGCAAUUGCAUUUCAACCUGGCCAACUAGAGCCU